GCCUCGAUAGCUCAGCUCGGUAGAGCGUUCGCCUUGUAAGCGAAAGGUCGGGAGUUCAACUCUCCCUCGGGGCUCCA
RNAcentral lists this transfer RNA (77 nucleotides) under Candidatus Undinarchaeales archaeon. RNAcentral's name for it is "tRNA-Thr". It matches the Rfam family "tRNA". From Rfam's summary of the family: Transfer RNA (tRNA) molecules are approximately 80 nucleotides in length. The record is from RNAcentral. Lineage: Archaea; Nanobdellati; Candidatus Undinarchaeota; Candidatus Undinarchaeia; Candidatus Undinarchaeales.